AACGAACGCUGGCGGCAUGCCUAACACAUGCAAGUCGAACGAGACCUUCGGGUCUAGUGGCGCACGGGUGCGUAACGCGUGGGAACCUGCCCUUAGGUUCGGAAUAACUCCCCGAAAGGGGUGCUAAUACCGGAUAAUGUCUUCGGACCAAAGAUUUAGCGCCUUUGGAUGGGCCCGCGUUGGAUUAGCUAGUUGGUAGGGUAAAAGCCUACCAAGGCGACGAUCCAUAGCUGGUCUGAGAGGAUGAUCAGCCACACUGGGACUGAGACACGGCCCAGACUCCUACGGGAGGAAGCAGUGGGGAAUAUUGGACAAUGGGAGAAAGACUGAGCCAGCAAUGCCGCGUGAGUGAUGAAGGCCUUAGGGUUGUAAAGCUCUUUUACGCGGGAUGAUAAUGACAGUACCGGGAGAAUAAGCUCCGGCUAAAUCCGUG
This 433-nucleotide ribosomal RNA is filed under the name uncultured bacterium. Its description in RNAcentral is "partial 16S ribosomal RNA". It matches the Rfam family "Bacterial small subunit ribosomal RNA", at positions 29 to 507 of the family's 1533-position model. The record is from RNAcentral.